This 569-nucleotide long non-coding RNA is filed under the name Eucalyptus grandis. Its description in RNAcentral is "long non-coding RNA (EGRA_LNC000371)". The record is from RNAcentral. Lineage: Eukaryota; Viridiplantae; Streptophyta; Magnoliopsida; Myrtales; Myrtaceae.
AUCGAAAAGCAUGUGAAACUUCACUGGCAGAGAGUUAAAGUUGCCAGAAUAUAGUUCUUCUGAUUUCUUGCGCUCGUUUUCUUGGAGAUGAUAAUCUCCCGCAACCCCACAGCAUCAUCGGCGUGCAAUGCCGACACCCAUUCACACAAGCCCAAAAGAAUCGAGAAACUCACAGCAAGAUUACAAAGCAAGAACAGGACAAUUAACAACCACCGGCAACAAACAAAUUCAAUGCUGCCUCAUCAACAAGAAAAACAAGAAACAUGAGCGAUGGAGUUUCGAGAGACUCACAGGAUGAUCCCGCACGAAGCAUCGAAGAGCCCGCCUUGAACUCUAUCCAGCAAGCCCUCGAAUCUGUCACCAACACUCUGUCCGUCCGCCUCGCCUCGCCUCCGCCGCCGUGUGCAGUCCAGUCGCCCACCUUCCUCUGUCUCUCCGUACCGUGAACGAUGAUCCGCUGCACAGGCAGCCACAUCUGGCUCCGCCCCUUUUCGAUCGAGCCAAAUCAGGCACCGCUGGCUCGACCGCGGCUCCGUCGACAGAGAAAAAGGGAAUGAGUAGACGAAGGA